GAUCAUUACCGAGUUUUGGGGCUUCGGUCCCUACUCCAACCCAUGUUUACAAGUCUCGUUGCUUUGGUGGAACGUCGUCUCGAACACGUCUGGGAGCUGCCGAUCAGCAUCCGAUAGUUGGGCGAUUCGCCUCCGGCUCACGCUGGAGAGUUUCCACCAAGGGUCUUUUUAAUGCUGUUUUUUUAAAAUCUGAGAAAACACAAAUUGAAUCAAAACUUUCAACAACGGAUCUCUUGGUUCUGGCAUCGAUGAAGAACGCAGCGAAAUGCGAUAAGUAGUGUGAAUUGCAGAUUUCAGUGAAUCAUCGAAUUUUUGAACGCACAUUGCGCCUUUUGGUAUUCCGAAAGGCACGCCUGUCCGAGCGUCAUUUUGACCCAUCAAGCCCCGCUUGGUAUUGAAGCCGGUCCCCGGACCCCUUCAAAACUCAAUCGGCGGAAGACGUGGAUGUCCUGAACGUAGCUAAGCAUCGUUGAGAGGACUGAAAGCGGCCCCCGCGAUUAACAAACUCAAAAUUUUGACCUCGGAUCAGGUGAGGAUACCCGCUGAACUUAAGCAUAUCAAUAAGCGGAGGAAAAGAAACCAACAGGGAUUGCCUCAGUAACGGCGAGUGAAGCGGCAACAGCUCAAAUUUGAAAUCUGGCGCAAGCCCGAAUUGUAAUUUGCAGAGGAUGUUCCGGAGUCAGCCCUGCCUAAGUCCCCUGGAACGGGGCGUCGCAGAGGGUGAGAAUCCCGUACGCGGUUGGGUGGCGUCUCCAUGUGGAGCUCCUUCGACGAGUCGAGUUGUUUGGGAAUGCAGCUCUAAAUGGGAGGUAAAUUUCUUCUAAAGCUAAAUACCGGCCAGAGACCGAUAGCGCACAAGUAGAGUGAUCGAAAGAUGAAAAGCACUUUGAAAAGAGAGUUAAAAAGUACGUGAAAUUGUUGAAAGGGAAGCGUCUGCGGCCAGACUCGUAGCGUCGGUUCAGCAGGUCUCUGACCUGUGCACUCCGUCGUCACGGGCCAGCAUCGGUUUCUUGGACCGGACAAAGGCACUGGGAACGUAGCUCUUCGGAGUGUUAUAGCCCUAUGCACAAUUCGGCCCUCGAGACCGAGG
This 1090-nucleotide ribosomal RNA is filed under the name uncultured fungus. RNAcentral's name for it is "eukaryotic LSU rRNA". The stretch from base 516 to 1090 matches the Rfam family "Eukaryotic large subunit ribosomal RNA", at positions 1 to 589 of the family's 3401-position model. Lineage: Eukaryota; Fungi. The record is from RNAcentral.